CCUACGGGAGGCAGCAGUGGGGAAUAUUGCACAAUGGGGGGAACCCUGAUGCAGCGACGCCGCGUGGGUGAAGGAGUACUCCGGUACGUCAAGCCCUAUCAGCAGGAAAGAAAAUGACGGUACCUGACUAAGAAGCCCCGGCUAACUACGUGACAGCAGCCGCGGUAAUACGUAGGAGGCAAGCAUUAUCCGGAUUUCCUGGGUGUAAAGGGAGCGUAGACGGCAGGUCAAGUCCGGAGUGAAAGCCCGGGGCUCAACCCUGGGACUGCUCUGGAAACGGUAAAGCUGGAGUGCGGGAGGGGCAGGCGGAAGUCCUGGUGUAGCGGUGAAAGGAGUAGAGAUCAGGAGGAACACCGGCGGCGAAGGCGGCCUGCUGGACCGUAACUGACGUUGAGGCUCGAAAGCGUGGGGAGCAAACAGGAUUAGAUACCCUUGUAGUC
RNAcentral lists this ribosomal RNA (440 nucleotides) under uncultured bacterium. RNAcentral's name for it is "partial 16S ribosomal RNA". It matches the Rfam family "Bacterial small subunit ribosomal RNA", at positions 338 to 795 of the family's 1533-position model. The record is from RNAcentral.